UACGUAGGCAGCGAGCGUUGUUCGGAGUUACUGGGCGUAAAGGGUGUGUAGGCAGUUGUUUAAGUUUGGUGUGAAAUCUCCCGGCUCAACUGGGAGGGUGCGCCGAAUACUGAAUGACUUCGAGUGCGGGAGAGGUGAGUGGAAUUCCUGGUGUAGCGGUGAAAUGCGUAGAUAUCAGGAGGAACACCGGUGGUGUAGACGGCUCACUGGACCGUAACUGACGCUGAGACACGAAAGCGUGGGUAGCAAACAGG
Molecule: ribosomal RNA, 254 nt
Filed under: uncultured bacterium
Lineage: Bacteria
Description: partial 16S ribosomal RNA
Rfam family: Bacterial small subunit ribosomal RNA
Source: RNAcentral